Molecule: ribosomal RNA, 1685 nt
Filed under: Chromatiales bacterium
Lineage: Bacteria; Pseudomonadati; Pseudomonadota; Gammaproteobacteria; Chromatiales
Description: partial 23S ribosomal RNA
Rfam family: Bacterial large subunit ribosomal RNA
Source: RNAcentral
GUUAUAUGGUCAAGUGAAUAAGCGCAUAUGGUGGAUGCCUAGGCGGUAAGAGGCGAUGAAGGACGUAGUAGCUUGCGAUAAGCCUCGGGGAGUCGGCAAACUGACUUUGAUCCGAGGAUUUCCGAAUGGGGAAACCCACCCAGCAUAAGCUGGGUAUCGUUAGCUGAAUAUAUAGGUUAACGAGGCAAACCCGGGGAACUGAAACAUCUAAGUACCCGGAGGAAAAGAAAUCAACCGAGAUUCCCUGAGUAGCGGCGAGCGAAAGGGGACCAGCCCUUAAGCUGUUGAUGAGUUAGUGGAACAGUCUGGAAAGUCUGGUGAUACAGGGUGACAGCCCCGUACACGAAAAUGACUCAGCAGUGAAAUCGAGUAAGGCGGAGCACGUGAAACUCUGUCUGAACAUGGGGGGACCAUCCUCCAAGGCUAAAUACUCCUUACCGACCGAUAGUGAACCAGUACCGUGAGGGAAAGGCGAAAAGAACCCCUUUUAGGGGAGUGAAAUAGAACCUGAAACCGUAUGCGUACAAGCAGUCGGAGCCCCGCCACUAAAUCACUUUUAACGUAACUAUGUACUACGUGUAUGUACUGCAAAAUGUGCAAGAUGAAACAGACUUCUACACAGGUUACAGCAGUGACCUGAAGAAGCGUGUUGAGCAGCACAAUGAAGGUAAAAACACUUCUACCCGAGGGAAGAGGUGGCGCGUAGUGUAUUACGAAGCGUAUAUCAGUGAAGAGGUGGCGCGAGAUAGAGAACGCAAGCUUAAGAAUGAUGGGCGAGUGAAGCGUUUUUUGUUCGAACGCAUUAAGUCACAGUUUGGAGAGUGAUUUAGUGGCGGGGUAACGGCGUACCUUUUGUAUAAUGGGUCAGCGACUUACUUCUCAGUAGCAAGCUUAACCGAAUAGGGGAGGCGUAGGGAAACCGAGUCUUAAUAGGGCGAAUUAGUUGCUGGGAGUAGACCCGAAACCGGGCGAUCUAUCCAUGGCCAGGGUGAAGGUGGAGUAACAUCUACUGGAGGCCCGAACCCACUUAUGUUGAAAAAUGAGGGGAUGAGCUGUGGAUAGGAGUGAAAGGCUAAUCAAGCCCGGAGAUAGCUGGUUCUCCUCGAAAGCUAUUUAGGUAGCGCCUCAUGUAUCACCACCGGGGGUAGAGCACUGUUACGGCUAGGGGGUCAUCCCGACUUACCAACCCGUUGCAAACUCCGAAUACCGGUGAGUGCAAUCAUGGGAGACAGACGGCGGGUGCUAACGUCCGUCGUCAAAAGGGAAACAACCCAGACCGCCAGCUAAGGUCCCAAAAUCACAUCUCAGUGGGAAACGAUGUGGGAAGGCAUAGACAGCUAGGAGGUUGGCUUAGAAGCAGCCAUCCUUUAAAGAAAGCGUAAUAGCUCACUAGUCGAGUCGGCCUGCGCGGAAGAUUUAACGGGGCUUAAGAUGUGUACCGAAGCUGCGGAUGCAGACUUGUUCUGCAUGGUAGAGGAGCGUUCUGUAGGCCGUUGAAGGUGAACUGUAAGGUUUGCUGGAGGUAUCAGAAGUGCGAAUGCUGACAUGAGUAACGAUAAAGGGGGUGAGAGGCCCCCUCGCCGAAAGCCCAAGGUUUCCUGCGCAACGCUAAUCGGCGCAGGGUUAGUCGGCCCCUAAGACGAGGCAGAGAUGCGUAGUCGAUGGGAAGCAGGUCAAUAUUCCUG